RNAcentral lists this long non-coding RNA (529 nucleotides) under Elaeis guineensis (African oil palm). RNAcentral's name for it is "long non-coding RNA (EGUI_LNC029581)". The record is from RNAcentral. Lineage: Eukaryota; Viridiplantae; Streptophyta; Magnoliopsida; Arecales; Arecaceae.
GCCUUACCCGAGGAUUUGUAUCCAGUGAAACAACAUCUGCCAUGUCACCACCAAGACACUAAAUUAAAGCAAUGGCAUGGACCUUAAAAGUAUUUUGUAUACCAUCUAUGAUUCACUGCUGCUGUACAGUAAAGUGACAGCACAUGAAUAAUAGAGGAAUAUUUUACUUGAUAAGAUCCCUCUGACAAAGGAAUGUAAAUUAUGUUAGUGAUGAGUUUUAUUUCAAUCAACCGUGCUGAUCUCAGUGGCCACAACCGAUUCAAUGCAUCACUGCAGGUUGGAUGCCAGUUAUUUGGGUUCAAAUCCUGCCUUCAUUAUAACUCAUGAUAUAAAUAAAUUUCAUGAGUAUCCAUAUUGCCCAUCUUCCUCUUCUUCUCGUAUAAAAUAAACUAAAACCUCUUGCAGUCAUCACAAAUUUUAAAAACAACAAUUAUGGCACCACUCCUAGCAUGAGAAACGUUUUGUUUUGCUGCAUUGGGCACACUAAAACAACCAAACAGUUAUUAUGCCACAAAGUGUAUUGGACACC